RNAcentral lists this ribosomal RNA (445 nucleotides) under uncultured bacterium. RNAcentral describes it as "bacterial SSU rRNA". It matches the Rfam family "Bacterial small subunit ribosomal RNA", at positions 354 to 796 of the family's 1533-position model. The record is from RNAcentral.
GUGAGGAAUAUUGGUCAAUGGGCGCAAGCCUGAACCAGCCAUCCCGCGUGCAGGAAGAAGGCGCUAUGCGUCGUAAACUGCUUUUCCGGAGGAAGAAAACCCCUGACGUGUCGGGGCUUGCCGGUACUCUGGGAAUAAGCAUCGGCUAACUCCGUGCCAGCAGCCGCGGUAAUACGGAGGAUGCGAGCGUUAUCCGGAUUUAUUGGGUUUAAAGGGUGCGUAGGCGGAUUAAUAAGUCAGUGGUGAAAACCUUCAGCUUAACUGGAGACUUGCCAUUGAUACUGUUAUUCUUGAGUACGGUCAAGGUAGGCGGAAUGUGUAAUGUAGCGGUGAAAUGCUUAGAUAUUACACAGAACACCGAUUGCGAAGGCAGCUUACUGGGCCAUUACUGACGCUGAUGCACGAAAGCGUGGGGAGCGAACAGGAUUAGAAACCCCGGUAGUCC